AUGUCCGAUUUAUUUAGUGGGAUUCAAGCAGCUAUGGUUAUCAAUCGAGUAGAGAACAGUGAGCAGUCACCUGAAGAUUGGAAUAGCGACUGUGAUGGAUCCGGUGGUUCAUCAGGUUUGCCGGGCACGCCGUGCUUUACGUCCAGGCUUUCUUUGCUCAAAGUUGGUUCAGUCAUAGGCCAGUUUAGUGAUUUUAAGCGACAGUUAAUCAAGGAAACCGGAUUUGAUGGAAUGCUAGAGCUCAAAUCAUGGCAGAAGAUCAGCCUUAAGUACAGCGCUUACCUAAUGGAUAGGGUUGAUGUAGAUUCCAGCAUAAUAAAUUUAGAGGGCCAAGGUGUGAUUGAAUUACGUGACCAACACUUUAAUUCUGUUUUUGCCCCCAUGUGGCAAUACAGUCAUAGAAGGUGA
RNAcentral lists this ribosomal RNA (408 nucleotides) under Triticum aestivum (bread wheat). RNAcentral's name for it is "partial small subunit ribosomal RNA". The record is from RNAcentral. Lineage: Eukaryota; Viridiplantae; Streptophyta; Magnoliopsida; Poales; Poaceae.